CGCAAAAGAACAUAACAUAAUUAUAAUAAUUUAAAAAAAAAGUUGAUUCUACAUCAUGAUUUAAUGAUACAACCGAAACCCAACCUUACUAAAAAAACCCAAUAUUACCUGUCAAACAAAUACGUCAACCCCAACCAACGAAUAAAGAUCGAAUAACAAGAAACAACGUUGAAACAUGGAGCAAAUUAGAAGCAAGAGGGGACGAUAUGUCAGCUAAAAUAAAGUUACAAAAUAAAGAACAAGAAUCGAAAAAGGAAUGAAAGAAAAACAAAAUAUAUCAGAUUGCCAAAAGUAGGAGAAGAAUGGCGGCGUGAAAAAGGG
Molecule: long non-coding RNA, 321 nt
Filed under: Gossypium raimondii (Peruvian cotton)
Lineage: Eukaryota; Viridiplantae; Streptophyta; Magnoliopsida; Malvales; Malvaceae
Description: long non-coding RNA (GRAI_LNC010969)
Source: RNAcentral